UUGACGGAUGAACAAGUCAAAGAGUCGCUAAUUUUAUUUAAAAAGUACUGCAGACUUGUCCCUUCUUACCUGAAAGUCCCAAAUGUUAGGGAUAAUUUAAAGUUAGAGGUUUCUUUGCGAUGCUUGACCCUUAACUUAACUCAAAAAGAAUACAGGGAGAAAAUAGCCCAGUUUGAGAAAAAUGAUCAACUAUGUAAAACUCUUCUAUUAAAAAAAAUAAAGAGCUGCUUCCGAAAACCAAGUCCA
This is a long non-coding RNA of Zophobas morio, 246 nucleotides long. RefSeq lists it as uncharacterized. NCBI's taxonomy places the organism in Eukaryota, Metazoa, Arthropoda, Insecta, Coleoptera, Tenebrionidae. The transcript has 3 exons. The record is from RefSeq and is a predicted model, not a curated record.